CCUACGGGUGGCAGCAGUGAGGAAUAUUGGUCCAUGGUCGGGAGACUGAACCAGCCAAGCCGCGUGAGGGAUGAAGGUACAGAGUAUCGUAAACCUCUUUUGUCAGGGAACAAAGUCGGGGACGUGUCCCCGGAUGAGUGUACCUGAAGAACAAGCAUCGGCUACCUCCGUGCCAGCAGCCGCGGUAAUCCGGAGGAUGCGAGCGUUAUCCGGGUUUAUUGGGUUUAAAGGGUGCUCAGGGGGUCUGUUAAGUCAGCGGUAAAAGCCCGGGGCUCAACCCCGGCCCGCCGUUGAAACUGGCAGUCUCGAGUUGGAGAGAAGUAUGCGGAAUGCGCGGUGUAGCGGUGAAAUGCACAGAUAUCGCGCAGAACUCCGAUUGCGAAGGCAGCAUGCCGGCUCCACACUGACGCUGAGGCACGAAAGCGUGGGUAUCGAACAGGAUUAGAUACCCGAGUAGUC
RNAcentral lists this ribosomal RNA (459 nucleotides) under uncultured bacterium. RNAcentral's name for it is "partial 16S ribosomal RNA". It matches the Rfam family "Bacterial small subunit ribosomal RNA", at positions 338 to 795 of the family's 1533-position model. The record is from RNAcentral.